UCUAAUGCAAAUCAAAUAAAAAGAAACAAAGAAAUGUAGAUUUUCAAUUUGUUGGUAUCUGAAGAUGAGACUUGCCACAAUUUGGAAGUAGAAGCAGCAGGAGAGGCAGGCAACUCUUUAGCAUGCUCGUUGGAAAUCGAUGUCUCAAGAUUAAUACUGUCCAAAUGGGAGUUCAGUUGUUCACACACAUUAAUAGUGUCAAUGAAUCUUAAUCUCAUCGUAUGUUGGUGUGCUAAGUACCUGAAAAAUUUUUUUAAAAUGCGGUUUAUUGUUGAUACAUACGUACUUAUGUUGAAUAGCGUUUGAAACUUUUAACUUACUCAAUAUACUCUGAUCUUAA
Planococcus citri (citrus mealybug) is the source of this 340-nucleotide long non-coding RNA. RefSeq lists it as uncharacterized. NCBI's taxonomy places the organism in Eukaryota, Metazoa, Arthropoda, Insecta, Hemiptera, Pseudococcidae. The record is from RefSeq and is a predicted model, not a curated record. The transcript has 2 exons.